Molecule: small RNA, 636 nt
Filed under: Pan troglodytes (chimpanzee)
Lineage: Eukaryota; Metazoa; Chordata; Mammalia; Primates; Hominidae
Description: retained intron
Source: RNAcentral
CAGGGAACAACUCGGGGAGCCUGGUUGGAAGCUGCAGGCUUAGUUUGUCGGCUGCGGGUCUCUGACUGCCCUGUGGGGAGGGUCUUGCCUUAACAUCCCUUGCAUUUGACUGCAAAGAAAUCUGCUUGGAAGAAGGGGUUACGCUGUUUGGCCGGGCAGAAACUCCGCUGAGCAGAACUUGCCGCCAGAAUGCUCCUCCUGUUGCUGAGUAUCAUCGUCCUCCACGUCGCGGUGCUGGUGCUGCUGUUCGUCUCCACGAUCGUCAGCGUGAGUGCCUGGCGGGGAGGCUCCCUGCGCGGCCCGCCCUUCCCCAUCUGGGUUCCCAGCCCGUGCUCCUUCUGGUUCAGGACUGUGUUAUUUGCAGACAGUUGGAAAUCUCAGACGUCCCGGGGAAGUUUCUGGCAAUCUGCCCCCUUCCAGUUGCUUUGAGAAAACGAGAGCAGAUUCAGUGAUAGGAACCAAGCGAGCGCUGGGCUGGUUAGCUGCGCAGGUCUCUAUUUAAGCCAAGUAACUUCAGAGCCGAUCUAGGGUCCCCGACCUUCAUUUGAUAAGAUUGUUUAACUUUUUUUUUUCUUGAUGCAGCCUCGUUGAAGAAGAGGAGUAUUUAUGAUUUUUUUUUCUCCAAACCAUAGUCAG